Molecule: ribosomal RNA, 1464 nt
Filed under: Triticum aestivum (bread wheat)
Lineage: Eukaryota; Viridiplantae; Streptophyta; Magnoliopsida; Poales; Poaceae
Description: partial small subunit ribosomal RNA
Source: RNAcentral
AUGGCUUCCGUUGCCGCCGACCCGCACGCUGCCCUCGCUGGCGCGGGGACGCCGCCCCACGGUAGCCCCGUCGCGGGGAAGAGGGCGGCCGCCACCGCGUGGAAGCGCCCGGAGAACGGGCCCGUGCUGGUGGCGCCCGCGAGCCCCAUCAUGGACGCCGACUCCUGGCCGGCGCUUCCUGGGCUGGCCUCUCCCCAGCCGCCCACACCGCCCAAGGCGUCGCCUAAGGCCGCUCCUCCCCCUUCCACUGUGGCAGCUAUCUUGCCCGUGUCCUUGGACAUCUCCGACGCUCCGGAUGCUACCCCUGAUCAGGAUNNNNNGGAGACAGUGAUUUUACCGGUGUCUUUGGACAUCUCUGGCGCUCCGGAUGCUACCACUGUUAAGGACGCCGUGACCAGUAGUCCACCAGUCCGGCGUGUGUUGAUGAUGCCUGCAGGGGAUGACGGGCCAGAGAUGCAUGCUCUUAUUCCAGAGCCAUCUCUAGGAUACUCUCCUAAUGCCCGGAGCAAUGGUACCGGCGUUCAUCAUCAGAAUGGCCGUUUUGGUUCCCAUCCUCAUGGCCGAGGUGGCAGUUAUGGUGGGGGGAGCAGAAGGGGUAAUGGUGGAGGUGGUAGUCGCCAUGGUCAUGAGCACCAUGGUGGGUUUGAUGGGCAACGGCGUGGUGGCGGCCGUAGAGAUGGACAUGGGCCAGGGCACCAGCAUCGUGUUCACCAGCCAUCGUACAUUAGGGCUCCUCCUCUGGCUGUUUUAGCGGCGGGACCUCCCGCACCACCAUUUGCUGGCCCUGCUACUCCACAGACACCACCUUAUGGAACUGCUGCUCCACAGACACCACCUUAUGGGGCGCCUAUGGGAUUCCCUGCCCUUCCUUCUGCGCCUCCUCCACCAACCCCUCCAGCCAUGCUAAUUUCUCCACUGGAACAACUUCAAAGGGACCUACUGGUGCAGAUAGACUACUACUUUAGCGAUGAAAAUUUGUGCAAGGACAUAUUCUUGAGGAGACAUAUGGAUGACCGUGGUUGGGUGCCAUUAUCCUUGAUUGCUGGCUUUAACCAGGUCCAAAGGCUCCUAUAUCGUAUUGGACAAGUCAAAAACUUGACCAAUAGUUUACAGUUUAUCUUGGAUACAGUCAUGCAGUCUACUGUGGUGGAAGUACAGGGUGACAAAAUACGGAGGCGUGCAAGAUGGGAGAUUUGGUUGCUUCCCAGACCAAAUUAUUCUGAUGGAAAUUCUUCUGGUUCACGUUCCCCCGUGACAUCCAACAUUGAUUCAUUGGCGUCUCAGUUUCAAUCUUUUGGACUUGAGGGGACAUACUAUCCUCGUGAAGCUCUCCUUACUAGAUCAGCAACUUCAGUUAGUAUAGGCUAUCAAGCACCUACCUUCAGAGGACUACACAGCAAUGGCAGUGGACCCAUUUUUGGGCAGCAGACCGAGAGAAGUUUACUCAGAAGUGAUACUUUUUGA